CGCGUAGGCGGUCUGCUAAGUUCCGUGUGAAAUCCCUCGGCUCAACUGGGGAACGGCACGGAAAACUGGAAGGCUUGAGUUCGGGAGAGGGAAGCGGAAUUCCGGGUGUAGCGGUGAAAUGCGUAGAUAUCCGGAGGAACACCGGUGGCGAAGGCGGCUUCCUGGACCGACACUGACGCUGAGGCGCGAAAGCUAGGGGAGCAAACG
This 207-nucleotide ribosomal RNA is filed under the name uncultured bacterium. RNAcentral's name for it is "partial 16S ribosomal RNA". It matches the Rfam family "Bacterial small subunit ribosomal RNA", at positions 568 to 774 of the family's 1533-position model. The record is from RNAcentral.